AGCAGAGUGGCGCAGUGGGGCGUGCUGGGCCCAUAACCCAGAGGUCAGUCCGUGGAUCCGAACCCACGCUCUGCUA
This is a non-coding RNA of Trichonephila clavipes, 76 nucleotides long. The record is from the annotation of a GenBank genome assembly. NCBI's taxonomy places the organism in Eukaryota, Metazoa, Arthropoda, Arachnida, Araneae, Nephilidae.